GCGGGAGUAGUUCAGUGGCUAGAACAUCUGCCUUCCAAGCAGAAUGUCGCGGGUUCGAAUCCCGUCUCCCGCU
RNAcentral lists this transfer RNA (73 nucleotides) under Elusimicrobia bacterium HGW-Elusimicrobia-1. Its description in RNAcentral is "tRNA-Gly". It matches the Rfam family "tRNA". Rfam says of the family: Transfer RNA (tRNA) molecules are approximately 80 nucleotides in length. Their secondary structure includes four short double-helical elements and three loops (D, anti-codon, and T loops). Lineage: Bacteria; Pseudomonadati; Elusimicrobiota. The record is from RNAcentral. RNAcentral also lists the same sequence under 1 other name.